CGCGCCUCCCGACCCCGGCUGCGCUUCACGCCCGGGUGGUGUCCCGCCUGGUGCAUCUCUUUUACCCACUCUUUCGCCCAUCACCUUCGGCGAAUACCGUGAGAGCAAGGGCAGGGGAGGAAGCGUGAAGAAAACAAAAGCACACACCUCCUAAGCACACGCCUCCUGCUCACUCUGGACCCCGCCCCCGAAAGGGAAGGAACCGGGCAGCAGGGAGGGGGGGGCGACGCCUCAAGCGCCAUCUUUUACGUGGGCGGAAGAAGUUGCUGCUUAAUUUUUCGUUUCCUCGUGGGACGCCGUAGGUACGUCCUGGAGUUUUCGAUUUGCGAUUACGUGAACGCGCGAGCUCCGUGAGAGGGGCGGCGGGGACUGCUCCGCCGCGUGCGUCGGGAAGAUGCGGAGCGAGGUGUCGGCAGGUGUCGGCCGUGUUGUGUUUAGUGCGCGAGGCUGCUGGGCUCCCAGGAAGCCCGGGUAUAGGUGUCGUCAUCCAGCUUUGUGCAGUUUCAGAGCUCACUGAGACCUGGUACACACACCAGGCUGGUGGUACUAAGUUGAUGACAGCUCUUUCUCAGAAAUGUCUUCUGUGUUACUUCAGAGCUGGAGUUGAGGACUUGUUGAUUACCUCCGAUUUAUCAGGAUUACAGCAAAUUAGAUUUAACUGUGACUGGCAUGUGAACUAUCUGAUGUUUGGACAGGGAUGAGGAAUAUUGCUAUGGACACCACGGUGAGUUUCAUUUCUUUUAAGUAAUGAGAUUUUAUGUGCUUGCCUUAAUCAUUGCAGACUUAUCAAUAUGCACUUUAUGAUAUAUUAGCUUUUGGUUGAAAUAUGAAUGAGCCAACAACCAACUGAGGUACUUGCAGUUGGAACCUUGGUUACUGGAUAUAUUAAGUUAGUUCCGUGAAACAGUGUGGUAUAAAUGGUUUAGAAAGCUCUGGUAGGUCCACGUCUGUUCUAAUGAUGAGCAAGGUGGACAACACCCCUGUGAGUGAACAUUAGGGUCUCAUGUAUAUUUUCAGGUCCUUCUGAGACUCACCAUUCUAUAAACAAUAAGCUUCUCAAUGAGAGGAAUCACAUCCUCCACCAGGUAUUCACCUCUGUUCCUUCCUCCAUGCUGGUGCUCUGUACCUCACAAACCACAGCUGUGAAUGAUCUAAGGUCCCAGAUAAAGAGUCCUGAGGGAGAAGAAAUCCCUAGUUAAUUGCAGCAUCAUAAGAUGCACAGCAAGAAAGAGAACAAGUAGGAAGACAAGCCUACCAAUUUCUUAAAUCUUAGACGAGAUCAUUAGACAUCCUGAUAAGGUUGCCAUAAUCUGAUGGAAUUCAGAUGCAGUGGGUAGUGCGGAGUGAUAGUUUUGCUGCUGUCCUGCUAUAAUGCCUGAGUGACAGUGGACCAGUGGCAAAUGACUGGCAGCUUUCAAGCAUUCUGACUCCUUCUAUAGCCAUACACUUCCCAGGCCCAUUUCGGAAUGUGGCCCAGAGCCCGACUGCCUUCGGUUACCCUGACUUGCAGCUCUCAGCAUUUUCUUGUUUAUACUUGUACUUUACCACACUUACUAGUAUGUUGCUUUUAAAAGUAGUUUCUUUAUUUAUUUCAUGUGUGACUUCUGCCUCUCAACUUUGUCACGGGCUGUUUGAAACCCAGGACAGUGUGCUUACAAUUUCAUCUUCUAACUCCUUUGUUUUGGGCACAUAUCAGAUGAUUAGUACAUGCCAGCUGGCUGAUGGAAACUUCAUUUCAACUACUUAGAACUGUUACCCUUAGGCCAGGCUCCUGUCAUUUGAAAAUAGCUUUGACUUUAUGAGUCAGAGUCACUGUGUUGAAGGUUCAGGGUCACUUUGAUUUAAAGUGGGUGAGGAGUUCAUGUCUUUUUUGUCACCAGUGUCAUCUUUCCUACCUCUUCACCACACUGUUUCUUUAACAUAAAAAAGAAAUAGAAAACCUUAACUAUCCAUG
RNAcentral lists this long non-coding RNA (1954 nucleotides) under Canis lupus familiaris (dog). Its description in RNAcentral is "lncRNA (ENSCAFG00000057023.1)". Lineage: Eukaryota; Metazoa; Chordata; Mammalia; Carnivora; Canidae. The record is from RNAcentral.